ACGCAGUACUUCUAACGAUAGCGGCCGUCCUCGUGUGAAGGAAUGGGUUCUAUGGGACAGUAAAUCUGCUUUCAGGUAAAUAAUAAUGAGACUUUAUUCACAAACACAGUAGCAACCCUGCACAGCGCCGCCUGGGCUGAUACACAGCCCAUCCGGAACACAGGAGCCGGGCUGGUCCAGUGCUCACAGGGCAGCCCCGACCGUGAGAGUCCUGUCCACGAGGGGGUGGGGGCGUGUCCCAGUCUGGGCCGACCCCCCUGUUCCACUGUUCCAGGGUCUCCUCUCUCCUGCGGGUCUCCUUUCCCUCUCCAUCUCGUCACUGGUCUUACUCACCUGAGUCACUCCUGUCGCUGAAGGAGGCUGCUUCUCCUCUCCCGGAAUGGAGUCUCCCCUCACUGGGGCCUCCCUGACACGCCCGUCUCUCUGGCGCUGGGCACGUUCUCCUCAGGGCCCUCUGAAACUGUACUGGUCCUCUUGGAGUCCCCUCUGUCACUUAGUCACCUCCGUCGUCCCGCUCAGCUCUGUCCCUGAAGUCCUCUCCAUGUCCAGGCUCAGCCCCCUCACUGCACUGCUGGUCUGUGUCUCUGGAGACACUGAAGUGAAAGUGAUCUCUGCCUCUGGCGUCUCCCCCGUUUCUGGGGUCAUCUCCGUCUCCGGCGUCUCCCAGUUUCUGGCAUCAUCUUCGUCUCUGGCGUCUCCCCAGUUUCUGGCGUCAUCUCCGUCUCUGGCGUCUCCCAGUUUCUGGCAUCAUCUCCGUCUCCGGCGUCUCCCAGUUUCCGGCGUCAUCUCCGUCUCCGGCGUCUCCCAGUUUCUGGCAUCAUCU
This 823-nucleotide long non-coding RNA is filed under the name Lepisosteus oculatus (spotted gar). RNAcentral's name for it is "lncRNA (ENSLOCG00000022172.1)". Lineage: Eukaryota; Metazoa; Chordata; Actinopteri; Semionotiformes; Lepisosteidae. The record is from RNAcentral.